GGCUACCGGUAAUUCCUUACAGCAUAUCUAUAUACGUAUUUAAUAUAAGAGAGCUGUAGCUGUAGACGGCCUUUAUGAAUGAUCUCCCUUGCUUAAUUUAAAUGCACACACAUUUGUGAGGUAUUAUCACACGCUGUACACACAGCUCUGGCUGUGCUUUCUACGUCUUGCAGAAGGGGGGGGCAAAAUAGUGAGAGGAGACAGCAAGAAACACAGUACAUUGCUUCGAGGCGCACGUUUCUUCGUCGCGUAUAUCUGAGACGCGGACCCGGUGCUGCGAUCAGAAUAACUUUUAGCAAAAGCUAAAAUAAUUUAAGGAAGAUUAAAUGGCGGAAGGUAAUCCCAUUUUGCCACCGGGACUGUUUCUGACGGAGCCGGGAGAACCUGUGGAGCCUUGGUCACAGUGGUCUGACAGACUUAUCGCUUACAUAGAUGCCACGGGACUGAUGGACCAGCCCGAUAACAUAAAGAGAGAAAUCCUACUGAACUGCCUGGGUCUUGAGGGCCAGCGCGUUUUUUCGACUCUGGAAGCAGGACCGUCUUUUAAGGAUGCGAUAGAGAAACUGACCGAGCACUUCGAGCCGCCUGACAUUUCCUCGCAGCGGUUCCCAGAGCGCACAGAGAGGGAGAGCUGGAAUUGCGUCCACUGUGUCAGCCGAGCCUGUGCCUCGUUUUUCUCCAGCAUCUGCCGCCUCAUUAGGGAAGGCAGCUGGCAUGAACACGGACCGCAGUUGCCUGCUGAAAAUAAAAACACUUCAACAGAACCUGCUGUGGAGAUGAUCGCUGUCCUGGAAACACAGCCGCUGCCAAGACGGAGCUCUGUCAGGCCUUGGUUAUGAGCCCUAAGCCUUGGAGAUGAAAAGCCAUAUUGCUACAGUGCUACGUUGCUGCACAUCUAUUUUUGCAGGUCAACAUGAAUGCUAUUUUUUUUAUGUUGGCUGUAGUGAAGCCAGUAUCUGUGACAAAGCAAUCCACUACUUGUACUUAUUUGGGUAGCUCAACAAUUGUUUUUUGCCAAAAAUGAAUCAUAAUAUAAGAAAUAUUUCUACAGAGUUUUAAUGAAGAACCUUUUAAAGUAUUUUUAUGCAUACCUUUAAGACAAGAAGGCAAGUUUCAUUUAUGGAGCCAAAUAACAACAAUAAUAUUAAAACUAUUAUAUUUACACUAAAACAAACAACAAUAAGAAGUAAAAACUCAGGAUGCUCUAGGGUACUAAUGAACAGUGAAAAUUAUACUUAGAGCACCAAGUGUGCAAGAACAGAAACUAUUAAACAGAAGGGUCAUAGUUGUUCAAUUAAUUUUCAAUUAUAAACUAUUCCAGGCCAGUGAGCCUUACAUGUAGUGUGUAAUGUGUUCAAGAAAAUUAAUGAAUUAUUCUUGUCAACAGAAACUUGUGAAGAUUUUAAGUGUUUGUGUUAACCUAAAGACAUUACACGACAGAUUCCUUAGAACACUGUCUCCAAAAGGAUUCAGCAGACCUUAAAUACAACACUGAAUAAGAUUAAACACUGAGGAGUUCAUAUUUUGUUGCGUAUGCACUUUGUUGAGAGGUGUAAUGGUAUAGAGCACAUGUGACAAUCAAUACCAAUUUCUGGAUGAAAUUGUGCCUUUGAAAAGCAGAUCAAUGCUACCUCAACUGCAAUACCAAUGUUAACUGCACUUUAAAUAUGUGCAGGGUGCUGUGUGGAAGAAAUAUUCUUUGAAUUUUUUAAAAGGUUUUCCAAUGAGAUAUUUUUCGAAUUCUUCCACAUUUUCUGUAAAAAUGUAGUUUCUUUAAUGUACAAAUACAAUAUUUACUGCAUUUCUGAUAAAACAAGCUUAGUGAGAAACAAAUAUUGUUAAUUUUAAAAGCACUUUUUGUUAUAAGUCAGAAUUUGUACGAUUUGGGCCUUUUAAUAAACUUGUGCUGUUAUUUAUAGAUUUUUUAAGUUAUGUCAUUACUGUAUUGUUUCAUGGUAAGAUCUGGAAAUCUUGGUGUCAAA
Lepisosteus oculatus (spotted gar) is the source of this 1982-nucleotide long non-coding RNA. RefSeq lists it as uncharacterized. Lineage: Eukaryota; Metazoa; Chordata; Actinopteri; Semionotiformes; Lepisosteidae. The record is from RefSeq and is a predicted model, not a curated record.